UGGGGAAUAUUGGACAAUGGGCGAAAGCCUGAUCCAGCCAUGCCGCGUGUGUGAAGAAGGUCUUCGGAUUGUAAAGCACUUUAAGUUGGGAGGAAGGGCAUUAACCUAAUACGUUAGUGUUUUGACGUUACCGACAGAAUAAGCACCGGCUAACUCUGUGCCAGCAGCCGCGGUAAUACAGAGGGUGCAAGCGUUAAUCGGAAUUACUGGGCGUAAAGCGCGCGUAGGUGGUUUGUUAAGUUGGAUGUGAAAUCCCCGGGCUCAACCUGGGAACUGCAUUCAAAACUGACUGACUAGAGUAUGGUAGAGGGUGGUGGAAUUUCCUGUGUAGCGUUGAAAUGCGUAGAUAUAGUAAGGAACACCAGUGGCGAAGGCGACCACCUGGACUAAUACUGACACUGAGGUGCGAAAGCGUGGGGAGCAAACA
RNAcentral lists this ribosomal RNA (427 nucleotides) under uncultured bacterium. Its description in RNAcentral is "partial 16S ribosomal RNA". It matches the Rfam family "Bacterial small subunit ribosomal RNA", at positions 355 to 774 of the family's 1533-position model. The record is from RNAcentral.